GGAGUACCAAAUCUAGGAAUUAAGACUAUGCGUCCAGGAAAGUUUAAAAAAGCUAGUUGGUCUAAGGAGUACAAAGA
Molecule: transfer RNA, 77 nt
Filed under: Escherichia phage T5
Lineage: Duplodnaviria; Heunggongvirae; Uroviricota; Caudoviricetes; Demerecviridae
Description: tRNA-Ile
Source: RNAcentral